GCUGGGCAUGGUGGCACGUGCCUGUAAUCCCAGCUACCUGGGAGGCUGAGGCAGGCAGGAGGAUCUCUUAAGUCCAGGAGUUCUGGGCUGUAGCACACUAUGCCAAUUGGGUGUCUGCACUGAGUUCAGCAUCAACAUGGUGACCUCCUGGGAGUGGGGGGCCACCAGGUUGCCUAAGGAGAGGUGAACCGGCCCAGGAUGGAAACAGCAUGCUUUUGUUUUUCCCCCAGAUACUACUCUUUCUAAAGCAAAAGUGGCAGACUCACACUGGGUCUAAUCUAUCUCUCUCUCUCUCAC
Molecule: signal recognition particle RNA, 297 nt
Filed under: Tupaia belangeri chinensis (Chinese tree shrew)
Lineage: Eukaryota; Metazoa; Chordata; Mammalia; Scandentia; Tupaiidae
Description: Tupaia chinensis (Chinese tree shrew) Metazoan signal recognition particle RNA
Rfam family: Metazoan signal recognition particle RNA
About the family: The signal recognition particle (SRP) is a universally conserved ribonucleoprotein. It is involved in the co-translational targeting of proteins to membranes. The eukaryotic SRP consists of a 300-nucleotide 7S RNA and six proteins: SRPs 72, 68, 54, 19, 14, and 9.
Source: Rfam by way of RNAcentral